This 19721-nucleotide long non-coding RNA is filed under the name Gossypium barbadense (sea-island cotton). Its description in RNAcentral is "long non-coding RNA (GBAR_LNC015544)". Lineage: Eukaryota; Viridiplantae; Streptophyta; Magnoliopsida; Malvales; Malvaceae. The record is from RNAcentral.
GUCAAUAAAAUAUAUAACUUUGGUUAAUUUGGCUUUUAAAAUUUUCUAACUGAAUUAACUGAUUUCUCACCGGUAAUCGCAGCAUAUAAAUGGAAACUGAUGUCUCUUAAUUUAUAUGGUUAAAAGUUAAUAUGAUCUCAUUGGGAUCUUAUUCUGAAUUCAAUCAGCAUUGAAACAUUCAUCAUCUAAUAAUAUGGUAAAGCUUUUGGUUAAUGUUUUAACCAUUCCCUUAGCUUUUUGGGCUUACUCGUUGUCUCAAACCUCUCUCUCUCUCUCUCUCUCUAAAGUGAACCUGAAGCUUUAAAGGAUCUCAAUAGGAUCAAGCUUUAUUGGGCUCUAUUAUAGCAUGUUUUUUUUCUGUAUUUUAUCACCUGUGAUUUGUAUUAUGUGAAUUGCUUGUUAACCCUUUCAAAAUUAUGUUGUUUUAUGCAUGUUUACAUUUCUGCAAUGUCUGUCUUUAACAGAUUAUCUUGUUGACGAGGGUACUGAAUGCAAUUCUACAUCUGAUUUAUUGCUGGAACGCAAUCGUGAACAGUGCUUAGUUGAUCUUUUGAUUCCGUCACUUGUGUUGCUGAUCACACUUUUGCAGAGAUUACAGGUUUGUUGCUUGUUUGUCAGACUGUAUCCUAAUGAAUCAUCUUUUGGUUCAAUAUGGAAGAUAACUUCCUGCAAAAAGCAUCAUGAAAAGUUUAGUGAAUUAAUGGUGAGAUUGAAGAUGCUAUGUUCCCACCUUCUUUAGAUCAGAAUAGUUGCUAGUGGAGGAGGAUUUAAUUGGUUCUUUCAUAAACUUCUGAAGAAGGUUGCUUCCUUUUUGCUGUUUUGAGCAUUAAUUCUUCCUCCUAAUUUAGAAAAGUCUGAAGCAUUAGUUGUGAAGUUCAUUAGAUACUGAUGCCCCUAACAUCAGACUCUUUUCACUCAUUUAAUAAUUAAUUGCAUUUUUUAGUGUACUUAACCUUUUUUAAUCCUUUACCAUCUUCCAAAUUUGAGAAUUGAAUUGUCUUGUCCUCUAUGUAUAGGAAGCUAAGGAACAGCACAAGAAUACGAAACUGAUGAAUGCAUUGUUACGAUUGCAUCGAGAAGUAAGGUAAUUAAUAUUUCCCUAUGGAAACUCUUGCAUACCAUGCUCAUUUAGGGAGUUAAUGGUGCUAAGCAUAUUGCUAUCUUGCAGCCCAAAGCUUGCAGCUUGUGCAGCUGAUUUAUCUUCUCCCUAUCCUGAUUCUGCACUUGGUUUUGAAGCUGUCUGCCAUCUUUCUGUGUCAGCUCUUGCUUAUUGGCCAGUAUAUGGUUGGAGUCCUGGCCUCUUCCACACUAUUCUUGCCAGUGUUCAAACUACUUCAUCACUGGCCUUGGGUCCAAAAGAGACCUGCAGUUUACUUUGUCUUUUGGUAUUUCAAUUUUUUUUUCUUUAAUACUAAUAGCACCCUGGUCUCCUUACUCAUAUCAAGAAAUAUUUACCUGGUUAUGUUUUGUUGUUGCUUAUAUCGUAUCUAUGUUGGUAAUUAUUAAGGAAGUGUUUUUGACCAAGACUGCUUGUUGUUUACCUUUUUCUUUUGUUUUCUAUAUCCCAACCUGGAAAACAAUGAAUUCCAAAUUCGGAUACUGUGCUUACUUUGUUUGCUGCUUUUCUUAAUAACACUUUUCUGUCAUCAGGAAUGGAAGACCCUUCUCUCAACUUAAGAAAUGUUUUUGCUCCAAUGGGCAUUUCCUUAAUUGCAGCAUUAACUGGUUUCUUUUGCCUUUUGCAUUGCAAGAAUGAUCUAUUUCCUGAAGAAAGUAUCUGGCAUUGGAAGAAUGGAAUGCCCUUGUUGAGUGCCCUUAGGUCACUGGCUAUAGGGACUUUACUGGGACCUCAUAAGGAGAGACAGGUUGAUUGGUAUCUAGAGUGUGGUCACCUUGAGAAGUUGUUCAACCAAUUGACACCACACCUCGACAGAAUUGCACAGAUUAUCCAACAUUAUGCCAUCUCUGUAUGUGCUCUUUCAUUGGCAUGCUACUUUGGUUUUCUUAUCAUCUGAAAUCUCUGAUAUUGCAGGAAUGUAGAAAUGGUUGGGGCAGGGUAGUUAUUCUAUUUUGAUAAACUUGCUUUAUAUCAUGUGCCUCUACUAAUAUAUCCCUUUUAAGCAGGCAUUGGUAGUCAUACAAGACAUGCUUCGAGUUUUUAUAAUUCGCAUUGCUUGCCAAAAAGCUGAACAGGCUUCUAAACUUCUGCGGCCUAUAUUGUCAUGGAUACAUGAUCAUACCUCUGACUUAUCAUCUUUAUCUGACACAGAGGCUUACAAGGUGAUAACUGCUAAGUUUUUUUUGCCCAAAUUACCUUUUUUUUUUCUGUGGUUGUUUAGACUGUUAUACCAAAUAAUUUCCUUUUCCCUUGGCAGGUUUAUAGAUGCCUUGAUUUUCUCACUAGCUUACUGGAGCAUCCAUAUGCCAAGGUUUUACAAUCUGUCUAUGGAUUUUUUUCUCCCCCCCCCUCUUGAUUUGAAGUUUAUUGUGCUCAUGGUGCUUCCUAUCUCAGGUGCUUUUGGUAGGCGAGGGUUUUCCUCAGAUUCUAACAAGAGUGUUGGAGAGUUGUUUUGAUGCUACGGAUUCAGACGGGAGGCAGGCUUCAGAUUGUAGGGAUUUUGCUAAAUAUGGGUUUGCUUUGAUUAGUUUGUGCAUCCCAGUUUUUAAGUCUAUCUCACUACUAUGCAGUUCUCUAACGUUCCCCCAAUAUGAUGAGAGACAUGAAAUGUGCGUUGAUUACUUGUUUUGACAUUCUCUGUUAUUUCUAUUAUAUAUUUAUAAUUUAUUUGAAAUGCAGAUUGGACAUGAUAUUUACUGCUUAAUGAUGGUUUCACUUAAAAUCAUUGUUGUUACUAGGCACAAAUUUGACAGUUUGAGCCCCAAAGAUUGUUCGAUAUUUAUAAAUCAACUCUUGAAGUUUUGCCAGGUAAUUGGAAGACUUGAAAACCUUUAGAGAUAGACUACUGAAUUCUGUUAUUGAGACCUAGUCUAGGAUCACAAGAUAGCUAAUCUUGUAAUCGAAAUGCGUUUUUUUCCCCACAGGUCCUACCAGUUGGAAAAGAAUUAGUGUCUUGCCUGACAGCUUUUAGAGACAUGGGUUCUUGCACAGAAGGGCGUAAUGCUUUGCUGUCUGCUUUGCUAUAUAGCAGCAGUUCUACUCAUGAUGAACUUGAAUCAGAGAGAGGAAAUGAAAAGAAUGUGAAUUUUCAUUUCCUUAAUGAAUCUGAAUGGAGAAAGUCUCCCCCAUUGUUAUGUUGCUGGAUAAAAUUAUUGAAAUCCAUUGAUUCAAAAGAUCAUUUACCACCUUAUACACUUGAAGCUGCUAAUGUGUUGGCUUUAGGUACUUUGGGCUUUUGCAUGGGUGGGAAUAGGUAAGAUACACACAUCUAUCACCGAUUACUUUCAUAAUGUUGCCUGCAUUACUUAACAUAGACUAGAGGAUAGUGGUUAAUAUUUUUUUGUUGCUAGGGCUUGUCAUUUCAUUGUUUUAGACCACCUUAAACUUGUUAACAUAAUCUUAUGGCUUAAGUAUGUUUUUAAGGAAGAUGUGAUGUGUUUGUUUUUAAGAGUAGUGGUUUCCCUUUUUUUCAUAGGAAAGAGAGAACUCCAGCAAAAACUCUUGGUGAUUAAAAGAGAGAGAGUUUUAGAAAAGUCAGCUCCAAGUAUGGAAGAAAAUUGAGAAUGAUUCAAGCAUGUUUCACUAUUUUCUAUAGAGAAAGGAAUACACUGUAUUCUUUCUCACAAAAUGUUUGUACUGGGAUUGGAGAAAAGAAACAGGACUUUUGGGAAUCAAAACAGAAAAAGAAAGCUGAAAUCUUUUUGAAACCCAAAUGCAACCUAGCUUUUUAUUUCUGUAUUCUCAAAGGCUUUGUGAUAUGUUAAGCUUAGUUCAUGUUUGAUCCCAUAUAAUGUCUGCAUCUGCCUGUUAGUUUAUUUGCUACUCUGCUCAUUGGAAGAGUAUUAGUCACUAAAUUAUGGUGUGCUCUUGUAUCAGUUGGAACAUGAAUUCUGUUGUAGCAUUGAAAUUCCUCUUUGGGCUUCCUGAUGAUACGACUGGGAUAGGUGGCUUCCCAGAAGACAACAUAAAAUAUAUUCAGCAAUUUUCUACCCUGUUAAGUUCAAGGAUUCAUAAUGAUGAGGACUAUCAAACUUCAUCCGAUAUUCAUAUCUCCAUGCAUCAGGUAUAACUAAGUAUGAUUGCAUCUUUCGUUUCCCCGACUUGUUUUUAAAACUUAAACUUAUCUCUGAUGCACAGGUUUCAGAGUCUGUGAAGUCAUUGUUGUUACUCUUCCAAAACUUGACUGCUGCUGUUGAGGUGGAUGAUGCUAUUCUCUAUGGAAGUCUUUCUUUUCCACAAAACAAUGUUCAAGUUCCUUCUGGAAUUCAGCACUUUGGACAAGGGCUUGACGGAAAGGCAGAUGACAGCCUUUACUCGGGAGGAUUUGAAGACAGGUUUUCAUGGGAAUUGCCUGAAACAUUACCUGGUAGAUUGUUACAGACAGCUCUUCCUACAAGAAGGAAACUGCAAGCAGCUGACAGCGCAAAUAGGAGUGCCAGAGGAGACAACUCUGUGGCUGAGAUAACAAAUCCAACUGCAUUUCAACGGGGAUUGGGUCCAUCUACAGCCUCUUCUGGUACUACUCGAAGGGAUAGCUUUCGACAGCGGAAACCAAAUACGAGCAGGCCUCCAUCAAUGCAUGUGGAUGAUUAUGUUGCACGAGAAAGGAGUGUUGAUGGUGUUUCUAAUUCUAAUGUAAUAGCUGUUCCGCGAGUAGGAUCUUCUGGGGGUAGACCUCCUUCAAUUCAUGUCGAUGAAUUUAUGGCUAGACAGAGGGAGCGUCAAAAUCCUGCUGCAUCAGGGACUGAGACUGCUGCACAAUCUAAGAAUGCAGCUCCUAUAAAUGGCCCAGAUAAUGAAAAAGUAAACAAGUCUAAGCAGCUGAAGUCUGAUCUCGAUGACGAUCUUCAAGGAAUUGAUAUAGUGUUUGAUGGUGAGGAAUCUGAAACAGAUGAUAAGUUGCCGUUUCCGCAGCCUGAUGAUAAUCUGCAGCAGCCUGCUCCUGUAAUUUUUGAGCAAAGUUCUCCGCAGUCCUGUUGUUGAAGAGACUGAAAGUGAUGUUAAUGGAAGUAGUCAAUUUUCUCACAUGGCUACACCUUUAGCAUCUAAUGCUGAUGAGAAUGCCCAAAGUGAGUUUUCUUCAAGAAUGUCAGUUUCACGUCCUGAAAUGUCUUUAACCUCGAGAACCUAGUGUUUCUUCAGAUAAGAAAUUUUUUGAGCAAUCUGACGACUCAAAGAAUGCUGUUUCAAUUAAGAACUCUGGUGGGUUUGAUUCUGCAUCUGGGACAAAUAGUUCAGGAUUCUCUGCCCCUAUUUAUAGUAAUACACCUGCAACAUCAGUGCAGUUGCCACUGGAUUCAAGAAUAACUCCACAAAACUUCUAUCCAAAGAGCAGUGCACAGUAUGCUGGUAACAUUCCUGUGGCAGCUGGAUCUCGAGGAAUGUAUGAGCAGAAAGUUCUGCCAAAUCAACCACCUUUACCCCCAAUGCCUCCCCCACCAACAAUUUUGCCAGUAAGUUCUCUUAUUAGUUGUCCUCAUUUAUUAGUUUAUGCUUGACAUAGGCCUCACAACUGACAGCCUUUCUAAAUAAGAUUUUUGUUUUUCACUGCUUUAGCUUGAUAGUUUACUUACACUUUCUAAAUGUUCACUUUUCUUUGCUGCAGGUCCAAUCCGAUUAUUUAUCUUCAGUUAGUGGCAGUCCUUCCUGUUGCAAUCUUCCAUUCCCGUGUCAGAUUCAAGUUUAUGAGAACUUCUAUGCCUUCGCCUAGUGGAACUACUAGGCCUCCACCACCCCUUCCUUCAACACCGCCUCCAUUUGCAUCUAGCCCAUAUAAUUUAGCUUCCUUAAAUACUUCUGCUUCCCAACCAGCACUGUACAAUCAGUCUGUUAUGGGUAAAAACGAACUUCCUCAGGGUUCUAUUGGACCUACUAUUGAUGCUCGUCUUCCAUACUUCAGCGUGCUGGCUUGGCUUCAUUCCACCUCCACCAUUGAUGCAAUCUAUAGUUUUUAAUAGGCCUCCUUCGAUCCCUGUUACACCUUCUGGAACAUCUCCUGCACUGCAUCAGGGUGAGAACCACCCUCCUAGCAUCUUGCAAAACCCCUCAAUACCUCAGUCUUCUAUGCAAACAAUCCAUUCUCUUAAUCAGCUGCAGAAGCUUCAACGUCCAUUGCAGCCAACUCAACAUCUUAGGCCAUCCAUAGCAAUCAUCACAGCAGUUGGAGCAAGUUGUGUCUUCGCAAACCCGGUUCAGAUGCAAAUACAGUCAUUACCGAUGAUGCAUCAAGCUCAUAUCUCUCCUGUUAAUCCUUAUUAUCUGCCCCAACAGCCUGAAUUUUCAAGCAGCGCAACAACAGAUGCAAGUUGAGCUUGCUUCAACAACAAGCACCACCACAAACUGGUGGUACGUCACAGCAACAAGAUUCUGGAAUGUCCUUACAUGAGUACUUCCAGUCUCCAGAAGCUAUUCAGGUAAGUCUUGUGCAUGUCUAACCUCAUGAAGAGGGAAUGCCAUCUGCUUGACAUCUUCUGUAUCAUAAUUUUAUCUUUACUUUUCCUAAAUGCAGCAGUCUUUGUUUGAGAGAUAGAGAGAAACUUUGCCAGCUUAUUGGAGAGCAGCAUCCGAAGUUAAUGCAGAUGCUUCAGGUUCAGUUUCUACAUUAAUUCUUGUUUGUCUCAAGGAAUUUUAUUAUGUAGUAGUAACAUCUCCGAUCAACAAAGUUUUUUAACUUCUAAAUGCUCUGCUGAGAGCUUUUCAACUUGUUCUAUAUUAUAUGGCUUGUAUACAUAUAUGUGCAUCAAACAUUGAUGCAUAUAUACAUUACUCUGAUUUAUGUUACUCGGACUUGGGUUUGUGUUAGAUAUGGGUAUGCGACUGUCACCAAUAUGUUUAAAUUUUUAAAAAGCAUUUUCAUAUAGUUGGAGUAUUCUUAAAGUUUCAAUGUCCCUCUAAACUCUGAUAUGUGGGACAUGCAGUUACUUCUCGGGAAAAAAUAAGGAUUUGGGAGUAACAUAGUUAUGAUAAUAUGCUUAAAAUAUAUGCUUGCUAUUAUAUUCUAAAACAUGGUUGCUUCUCAUGUUCUCUAACAGGAAAAGUUGGGUCAGCUGUAGCAAAAGAUGAUAAUGGGAUUGUACGGGUGCUUUAUUCUAUUUUCUGUAGCAUAUUUCAGACAUGUAAUCAUUGAUCCAAGACUCUGAAGUACAAUUCUUGAGCCUCGGCCUUAGGUCGCCAUGUUUCAAGCUUCAAAUGCAGUUGCCUGAUUAAGCCUGUUGCACUAAAUUUUGUAUCAGUUUGGACCAUAUGUACAUUAUAUUCCAUUUACUAUUACAACUUGCAUUUUUUUUUCAUUGUUUUAUAUCUAUUUCAUGUGUAGGGGAAAAUUUUCCUUCCCUGGUAAGUUCCCUUGUAUGAUAAGCCGAUGUUGAUAUGUCAACUCCAACUCUGUAUAUAUGCUUAUUGUCUGUUCUAUCAAGUAGCAAUGGUUUUGGCCAAAAAAAGAAAAAACUCCGCCAUGGGUUGACGAGAUUCUGGAGUUGCUAAAAGUUGUCUGGGGUUUGAAUCGAUAUUAGACGUCAACUUUUGACUUGAAUCAACACUUUUUUUUUGCCAGGGUUAGGGUUUGUUUAGAAUUGCAUCUCAAAGUAGCAUGCUGAACCAUGUUUUUUUUUAUUCAUAAGCAAUUUUAAACAAUCCACUUUCAAGUAAUCAAAUUUUCAAAUUGGGAUUUAAACUAAUCAAUUAUGCAUAAACGUCAGCUUUUGAAUUUUCAAAACCCCACAUUUAGGCUUCAGGCUUUUGUUUUUCCUGAAAUCCCUCAUUUCCCGGUUUAGAUUUUUUUUUUUGAGCAGUGAGAUUUUCCUCUCUUAGGUUAAUUUUUUUUUUGGAUUAGUAAGAUUGUUUUAGUGAGAUUAAAAUGAUGGUGGUGUAUGAGAUUGACUUUGCGAGAUGAAAAAUAACGGGGUGGUGAAAUUAGUUAUUGUAGCAGUGAGAGUGAAUGGUAGCAAUGAGUGGGGUAGCAAUGAGUUAAAAAUAGCAUUUUGUUUAGAUUAAAAUGUAGUUGUAGCGGUGAGGUGAAAAUAGAAAACUAUUAAAAAUUUAAUAUGAAAUUUUGAUAUGGUGAUGAAUUAUUUUUACAUAUGUUUAAAUUUUCAAAAAUUAUAUUCUAUUAUUUUAUAUUCAUAAUAAUAUUUUUAACAAAAAUAACAAUAUAGAUUUGUCAUAAUUAUAAAUAAACAUAUAAAAACACAAAUAAAUAAUAUAACAAAAAUAUAAUACAUUAUAAAAACAAAAACAUAAAAUAUAUUAUGUAAUGCAUAAAUCAUAAACGUAUGCAUAAAAGGGCACCCUAAAGGCUACACCUCAGGGAUUUGCUUAGUAUGCUGUAGUGAAGUCUUAGGCUUCAAGUUAAUGUAAUUAAUUAUUCAUGCUUGCUAAGGAGAAUUGUACAUAAGAAGUGUAGAACUGGUAGAAAGUUAAAUUGUAGUUCUGUUUUGAAACCUGUUGUGAAUAAAAGACAUAUUUAAUUGGUAAAUUCGAAUUAAUCAUGGUGUACUUAAGUUGUGAAUAGAAUAAGCUAGAUUUUUAAUCAACAACUAGAUUAUUUAGAAACACUUGGUACCUGGACUCGGUGAUCGGUCGAGUAAUGGGUGUUACAACUUACUAUGUCAUGAUUCAUAAUAUGUGAAACAUGUAUGUUUGGAAUAUUGAUUACUCUAUUUGUAGCCCCAAAUCCAACCGGGAUGGUCCGACCGAAUUCGGAACGUCACAUUAGUCACUUACGUGACUACAUCAUACACCACCAUUCACACCACACUUUCACACAUAAUUAGCAAUUAAAUCGUUAGGAUAAUCAUACAAAUCCUAUAAAUCUCUUAUCUAACAAAUUAUUCAAAAGUCAUUCAAGGGCAAAAUCGUUAUUUUGCAUUCAUCAUGAAUCACGCAUAAAUAACAAUUUUAAAAAUAAAUUUCAAAUCUAUAGUUAUGUAAAAACAAUAUUCAAAGAAUCAAUUUAAACCAAUUAGUAAUCCUCGAUUAAUUUUAAAAAAAUAAAGUUUUUAAGGGACCAAAUCGUAAAACAACAACAAAUUGUAUGAAGUAACCAUUUUACAAAAUUGUAAGUAGCACACAAAAAUUAACCAUCAAACCUCAUUCAUGCAAAAUUUUCAAAGCACUUUAUUGCUUUUGGAUUCCAAUUUCAUUUCCUAAAACUUGGGACUAGAUUGCAAAGGAAGCAAAACAAGGCAUAUGCACGGUGUGCCACGUUGUGACGACACGAUUGUCACGUCGCAACGUAAGAAAAGGACCCUUGUCACGACGACACAACUUGGGUGUCGUAAUAUCGAUCCCUCGUCGCAACGUCGUUCAAAUUUGUUGCAACGUCAUAUGCAAUUUCUGUAGAAACAACCCAUCAACCUAUUUUUCAUUUUGACUCAUUACCAAAACAUACAAUUUCGUACAUUUAGGCCUAUUUCUCUAUUCUAACAUGUCAUAUGCAAGCAUACAUAAUUCAAAACAUGCUCUAAUACAUUUUAUACACCUUAGCAAAAUUUGACACUCCAAGUAAUUUGUUAUGCUAGCAUAUAAGUCCUUAACUUCACACUCAAUCAGACAACAUACCAUAAAAACAAUUCAUGCUUUCCUAAAGAUCCUAAAUGCUUAUUUUAGACCUAUUUGGUCAUUUAAAACAUACCAAAACUUCUAGGAUACCGUUAAACCAUUUUGUCACAUUUUGUCCAAGAUUCAGCAAACCUUUAACACAAAACUUUAAUAAGCAAUCAUGCAUCAUCAAAAUCAUCAUUCACAAGCAAUCAAAAGAUCACAACCCAAGUUUAAAUUCUUCACAACAUUCCUUAAAUUCCGUUAUAGUACCAACAUUNNNNNNNNNNNNNNNNNNNNNNNNNNNNNNNNNNNNNNNNNNNNNNNNNNNNNNNNNNNNNNNNNNNNNNNNNNNNNNNNNNNNNNNNNNNNNNNNNNNNNNNNNNNNNNNNNNNNNNNNNNNNNNNNNNNNNNNNNNNNNNNNNNNNNNNNNNNNNNNNNNNNNNNNNNNNNNNNNNNNNNNNNNNNNNNNNNNNNNNNNNNNNNNNNNNNNNNNNNNNNNNNNNNNNNNNNNNNNNNNNNNNNNNNNNNNNNNNNNNNNNNNNNNNNNNNNNNNNNNNNNNNNNNNNNNNNNNNNNNNNNNNNNNNNNNNNNNNNNNNNNNNNNNNNNNNNNNNNNNNNNNNNNNNNNNNNNNNNNNNNNNNNNNNNNNNNNNNNNNNNNNNNNNNNNNNNNNNNNNNNNNNNNNNNNNNNNNNNNNNNNNNNNNNNNNNNNNNNNNNNNNNNNNNNNNNNNNNNNNNNNNNNNNNNNNNNNNNNNNNNNNNNNNNNNNNNNNNNNNNUGACCAUUGCGUCCACACAGGCCUGGCCACACGUGUGUGACCCUUACAACUUUGAAAAAUUUCAAUGUUUUUGAAAAUUUUUUUAAGUAUCCAUUUAGUCCCAACUUAUUUCUAACGCGUAUUUUGGGCCCCAAGGGCUGUAUAAAAGACAAUAUGUUUAAUUUGAUUGGUUUCUGAUGAACGUAUAUGAUAUGAAAUGUUUGUUUAUUUGAUCUGUAAACUCCGGUAAUGCCCGUAACCCCCUGGGAUGGAUAAGUUAGGAGUGUUAUAGUUACAUUUUCCUUCUCUUGUUUUCUGUUUCUUCAAUGAUUAUUUUUCCCAAUAAAGACAAAACUUAAAAAAAAAAACUCUAAACUCAUGGAACUUAAGUCAUGAUAACAAAGAAUAAUCCAUUCACAUUAAAAAAAACAUAAAAAACCGUAGUCAAAGAACCCACAACUAUAAAUUUUAGUUAAAAAAUGGGUUUAUAAUGGAAAAAAAAAAGAUAAAAGAGCUUGAAGAGAGAAUAGUUGUUAAUGCAUCCCAUUUUAAACCCAUUUUUGUAUCUGAAUUUUGAAUCUUGGAUGUGGAAUAGUUGCCAAAAAUCAAAAUUUGUAUGUUCUUCAUUUUUCUUUUAUAUUUCCCUUUUAUACCUAAUGUAUCUGAAUUUAGAAUUUUGAAUGUGGAUUUUUUCUUUAAUUACGGGUUGUUAUAUCUUUUUUUGAAAAUGUUAAAGGGUUAUUUUUUGCCAUUAUAGUGACUUAAGUUCCAUUAAUGGAGUUCAAAGAAAUGUUUUAAAACUUUGUCUAUAGUGGGAGAAAAAAUGGUAGCCAUUGAAGAAUGUGAGAAAAGAAGAAGGGAAAGAAGAGAGAAAAUAAAGAAAUAAAAAAAAGAAAAAAAAUUUACUCAGAAAGAAAAAAUAUAGGCUAAUUGUAUAAUUUAAAAAAAUUUCAUCUGAAAUGAUUACAUUAACAUGCCAUAUUAGCUUAUUUUACACCUUUAACGACUAAGUGAUCAUAUAACAAGAUCAAUAACGUUAGUGGUUAUAUAAUUUUUAAAAGUUUAUUGACCAAAACAUAUUUUUUAGAAAAUAUAAGUGACUAAACUUGUAGUUUACCCUUAAAUAUAUAGAUUAUGAUAAAUUAGUCCUCAACUUUUACAUUUUUUUGUCAAUUUGGGUUUUAACUUUUUAGCUAAAUUUGGUUAUUAACAUUUAAAAAAGAGUAAAAAUCAAUUUUUUAAUAGAAAUGCUGACCAAACAUUAACUUUUCAUUGAUGUUACCGUGACAACUCGCGUAAGAGUCUGUGUGUACUUCAUGCAAACAUUACACUAUUUAUCUUACGUCAACAAUAAUUUAAAAAUUAAAAAAAUCAAAAAUAAAAAAAUUUUAAAAAGUUAAAAAAAUUAGUAUGAAGUACACGGGGUUUUCAUGUUUAAAAUUUAAUGAUUUAGUGAUAUUUCGUUAAAAAUAGUAAUUCAACUCUUUUUGAAAGGUUGAUUAUCAAAAUUGACUCUUUUAAACGGAUUAGAGGCAAAUUUAGCUAAAAAAAGAAUUAGGGUCAAAUAGAUAAAUAUAUAAAUAUUAAGGGCAAAAUUAUAAUUGUUACUACCUAAAAACUAAAUUAUGAAUCGGUUAAAAUAUGCCAUAAGUCCCUAUACUCUUCAAAAAUUUGGAAUUUAGUCCAUAUACUUCUCUUUUUAAGAAUUUAGUCUCUCUACUUUUCAUAUUUAAAACUUAGGGCCAACUAUUAACCGUGUUAAAAUUAUUUUGUUAAUUCAUGUUAAUUACAUACCAUUUUUUUAGUUAUAUAGCUACUAAGUGAAUAUUUCAUUUUAAAAAUGUCAUACCAAUAAAUUUAAUAAAAAUUAACAAUAUUAACAUUUGGAACUGAAUUUUGAAAUCUGAAAGUAGGACUAAAUUCUUAGAAAUAAAGCUAAAAGGACUAAAUUCUUAAUUUGUAAAGAGUACAGGACCUAUGACAGAUUUUAACCAUCUAAAUAUUACUUAAAUGUAACUGAGGUCGAAGGAUCAAAUUAGAAAAUCUUGAAAUCUCCAUAGGAAAAAAGAAAAGUUUUGAAAUCUGAAGGUAUUUAAUUUCAACUAGUAAAACCUUGUUCUAAUCCGCCUUCCCUCUCUGGUUCAAGGUCCGGUUUGGCCACAAAAACAAAAACUGGACCCCCUUUCAACCAGAACCAAACACUCUUUAAUCGGCGGCGGGGGUUUAGAAAUCAAAUCCAAAACCCUAAAAAUCUUGAACAACCCAAAUCCAGAAUUUUCUUCAGAUUUUCAUGUCCCCCUCAUUAAUCGGACCCGAAGAUCGAUAAACUAACACCCUAAACCAAAAUGGGUCGACCCGAGCCCUGCGUUCUGUUUUCUCAGACUUUCGUUCACCACUCACUUGACGAAUACGUCGACGAGGUAUCUUGUUUUCUUGGUGUCGAUUCUUUCUUUCCCUUUUGGCAUUUAUGAAAUGGGUUGGCAAGGAAUAAUUAAAUGAUAUUUUUUUGUGGCAAUCCAGGAUUUUAUUGGAAUGUUUCGUUGGUUCUUGGUUUAUUGAUUGAAUGGAGUAUUGCAUUUCUUUUAUAAGAAUUUAAUUUAUGGGUUUCGGGUUGUGUUUUGUUUUGAUUUCUUGUUUUCUCAGGUAUUGUUUGCUGAACCAGUUGUUAUAACUGCGUGUGAGUUCCUUGAACAGAAUGCGUCCUCAGCUUCUCAAGCUGUGUCGCUUGUUGGGUAUGUUAAGCUAGUAAGCUUCCUACAGUUGUAGGGUUAUUUUUCUCAUGGGAACUGUUCAUGUACAUGAUAAUGUUGGUGUUAUAAUUUUGUUUUCUUCACAUGAUAUUAUUGAAUUAUGGUCAUUAGAAGCUAGGGAAGUAUGUAUAUAAGUGACAUAUCCGUCUCCUGAAAUAUAUUGUAUGUUGUUUUGUUGGUAUGAUGUAGUUCAGUAGUGGAGGUUUUAAUUUGGCACUUAUAUUGUGUUUGGUUGGAGGGAAAGAACAGCAAAAGAAUAGGAAUGGUAAGCAGGGGUUAAUUGGUGGGACUUGUUCCUCCUUUAGACGAGUCAAAAUAAAUUUAGGAAGAAAUGAUUGCUGAUUGAUAAAUUGAUUUGAAUUGUUUUAAUAUGUUGAGAUGAGACUUCUCCUCUUUCUUUUCUUCCAUUUAUUGAUUGCCAAUUCUUUAUUUUUCUGGCUUAUCCAAUUUCUCUCAAGAGUGGCAAUGUUUUUCUCUCCCUUUCUUCGUUUCCUAGCAAUCUUUCUUUCUUCUUGCCUUCCUAUCAAAUUGGUUUUGAAAAGUCGAACCCAAUUCUGCCAAAAUUCCUGAUGAGCAAAAGCAAGAAUGAAUCUGGCAUACCAUUCAUCUACUUCUCUCACUUCUCUUAUGAACUUGAUGGUGAAGAUCAUCUACCUUUUUCAUUCUUAAAAGCAGCUUCUUUCUUAGUAAAUGUUAGAACCAAAUUCAUCUAAUUCACCUCAAGCAACAACAGCUUCUUAAACAGGUGAGGAAGUCGAAGUCUCUUGCAUCUGCUUUAUCAUGGCCUAGAUUGAGUGCUUUCAAACCCUUGCAUCUUACCAUGAUUUUUCAUCCAGCUGAGCGAGGAAUGUGGAGUUCUGAAUUUGUUAAUUGACAGAUCGAAAUCUGAGACUUUGUUGAUUAUAAACAGUAAUUGUGUAUCACAAAUAUGUUCUUUUGUAUAUGGUUUAAUUAGUAUGAUACAUUAUUAUAUUAAUAACAAAUUUCAGCAUGUGUUCCAUUGUUAAGGUUAGGCGCAAGCUAGUAGAAAGGAUAUACAUUAUUUUAAUUGAUGCCAUAAAUUUGGCUAUUGUGCUUCUCAGUUAUUGGAAUAUUGAGGUUUCUGAAAACCUAAUUUUCUAUGCUGUAAUUUAUACAGGGCCACUUCACCCCCUUCAUUUGCUUUGGAGGUGUUUGUUCAGAGUGAGGGAGAGACAAGAUUUAGGCGCCUCUGUCAGCCUUUUCUAUAUUCUCAUUCUUCAUCAAAUGUGCUUGAAGUUGAGGUGAUUCUACCAUUCCUAUACCAUUGGGAUUUAUUUGAAUUCUAUAUUUGAACUUUUUCAGGUUAUGUUGCCUCACUUUAUGCAUUGGUUUAUGUAAGCCUGCACUUUUAUCCAUAUAUAUGCAUUUAUGUACACCUAUAGGUUGAUUGCUGCAUAAUAAAAUGUUUUAAAAAGAAUGAAUUAACAAAGUUUUUUGGGAAUUUGCUAGCAUUAGCAAUUUGAUUGAUGUGAUGUGCAAUUAAAAUGUUUGUUGAGGCUGCAGAAAACAUUUUAACAUCUUUAGCAUAAGAUAGCUCUGCUUAUCUUCUCAUCUCCCGUUUGUAGUUAUCUCUCCUUUAUUUAAAGUAUUUUAUGCUUCCUAUCUGUCCACCUGGUGUGUCUUUAUUUGGGAAAGCUAUAUGUGGACACCGAGUUUGUUUAAAAUUGUACUGUGAUCUUUUGCAGGCAGUUGUAACCAACCAUCUAGUUGUAAGAGGUAGCUACCGGAGUUUAAGUUUGGUCAUAUAUGGAAAUACAGCAGAGGAUUUGGGGCAGUUCAACAUUGAAUUUGAUGAUAGCUCUCUAACUAAUCUUGUUAGCUCUGCUGACGGAAAGCUUGAAGACCUACCUCUUCCCUUAUGCGCGUUUAAUCGGACAUUUGAGGAAUCAUUAUCUUCUUUAAAUGUUUUAUCUUUACCAGUAGUCACACUAGAUUUGUCAGUAGAGGUUAAGCAAUUACUGCAGCAAAUGUUGAAAAUUUUGGAAUUGCCAAACCUUGGUCACGAAGUACAUGAAGUUGUUCAUACUCUAGCAUUAGCAGCUGCUUCAUUUGUAACCUUUGACUUAGAUUCUAAUGCAAUCAAUCAGAAUCAUCUUACAUCAGGAAGAAACAAAGAUUUUAAGGAGUUGAACCAUGGUAUAAGUGAGGCCAGGAAAGAGCUGCUUGAGCUCUAUGAGACUCUUCAACGUAAAUCCAUGAACGAGUCCUCUGAAUCAUUGACAGAAUGUAUCUUUAUGGAGUCUGAUGCUGAUUUGGCUUCUUCCAAACAGUUGGUGGAAAUGCUGUCACCAUGUUUUCAUUUCAAUAGGAGCUCCUCUAGUUUUGGGCAUGGCCAGCUACCAGAGGUGAUUGAGAUAGAGGCUGUUUUCCUUGUUAUUUAUAUUAUAUUGCAUUCCUUUUUGAAUUUAAAGAUAUAAAAUUACUUUGGUAUGAAAUUAAUGCUUAUCCAUAUUUCAUAUGCUAACUUCAAUUUACAGAGUAAUAAUGUCAUCUUGGGGUUGAAUGUGGCUCUUUUCUUGUGCUCCGCUAAGGAGAGCUGCUUUCACUUUGUCAACUGUGGGGGAAUGGAUCAGCUUGCAUAUCUUUUUGAUCACCAGAUGCAGAACUCGAUUACCAUUACAUUGUUGCUACUUGGAGUUAUUGAGCAGGCUACUCGACAUUCUGUUGGAUGUGAGGGAUUUCUUGGUUGGUGGCCUCGUGAGGAUGAAAAUAUCCCUUCUGGCACUAGUGAUGGUUACAGUUACUUGCUGAAGUUGUUGCUGCAAAAACCACGACAUGAUGUUGCUUCUCUAGCAACUUAUAUCCUUCAUCGACUAAGAUUUUAUGAAGUUAUUUCGAGAUACGAGGUAUGCUUAUGAAGUUGGUCUUGCCUUUUUGCUUGGGCAAUUGGUUUAUAUCCAAAACUGUCUUAAAAUUCUUUGCUUGUAAUUUUAUUCUUUACCAGUCUGAAAUCUUAUCCAAACUGGGUGGCCUUUCUGCUACUACUAAAGGGACAAAUGUUGCUUCAAACAAGCUCAGAGGUGUUGGAUCACUACUUAAAAAGCUUCUGGUCAGUUGUCAAUCUUUCAACUGCGUUAAUUUUCUUGUUGUUUUCGAAAUAUGUGGUGGCUGCUCUAAAUGUAAUUUUGUGAUGUUUGUACUCAAUGUUAAUGCAGCAUUUGGUAAUUUCACAUGGCCCAAUUGAAGAUCCAUCUCCAGUGGCCCAUGCAAGCAGAUAUUUUAUUCUUGGUCAAACUGAUGGAUUAGUAUCGUAUAAAGCAACCAGUGGGUUGAUUGCUUCUUCAAAUUGUUGCUUCUCAGAUUGGGAAAUUGACUUGCAUUUGCUGGCACUUCUUAAGGUAGGUUGCUCAGUUAGCUCUUAUGAACUUUUUGAAUGUUCCAUAUCCAUGCUUGUUGCUUUUGCAAAUUUGAUUUUAGCUUAUAGCAGAUGAUCUGUUCUGAGACUUGUUUAUCCAUCUUUUAGAAGUGUUAUGAUCUAAGGCGUAAAUAAACUUUCACACGAUCAGUAUCAUUGCAUCAUUAUUUUAUUUCUUUUAGGAUGGAUUUGGUAGGAAGAUGAUGAAAUGGUUACUAUAAGGUUAGAAAGUGGACGAUUGUAUCUCACCUUAUGCUGGUUUUUGCAAGAUGAAAAGUGGAAUAUGAUAAUUUUUAUUGUAUGCCAUGUUUGUUGCUGAAUGAUUGAAUUAUACUGAUAGAGAGAGAACACUAAAACUCAAUUAAACUGACAAAUUACUACACUCAUGAUCUACUGACCACAAAGGGCACUAUCCCCUGGACUAGUAAAGACAUUGUUGAUGAUGGACCAGUGACCUUAGCCAUUGGCUUGGGAAGGGGGAUAAACUUUGUCUACGAUUUUCCAUAAGAAUCCCUCUUGGUAUCCCUAACUUUUUUUUUCUUUUCUAGUUAUUGUGAUGAUAUAUGGAGCGUCUAUUAUUUUUUGUUUUGUAGGCGUAAUGCAACUCUGCAAGAAAUCUAUUAUUUUCCAAAUAUUUUUGGAUGAGUUGGUUGGGUGUGAUCAAAUUAUAGUGGUUCUAUUAUUUAUCUCAAUAUUGUCUCUUUUGAAGCAGGAUCGAGGAUUUCUUCCUUUAUCAGCUGCGCUGUUGUCAACUACUAUUUUGCAUUCUGAAGCUGCGGAUGUUGUGGACACUUCUUUGGAGAUUGUGUCAUCCAUUGGAUCCAUAAUUCUCUCCCUACUGUUUUGUCGCUCAGGUUUUGUUAAUGACUCUGCAGCAAAGAUAGCAUUGUAUUAUUAAGUCAAUUAUGGUUGUGAUUGAUGCUGUGUUACCUCUGUUUCAGGCUUAGUUUUUCUCCUACAUCAGCCUGACCUUACUGCUACACUAAUUCAUGCCCUGAAGGGUGCUGAUGCUAUGAACAAGGAAGAGUGUGUUCCUCUUCGGUAUGCUUCUGUUUUAAUAUCUAAAGGAUUUACUUGCAGUCCACAGGAAGUUGGAAUCAUUGUUGAGACACAUUUGAGGGUGGUUAGUUCCUUUUCUUGGUUGAUAUGAAUAUUGAUAAUCUCCUUUUUUUUUUUUUGAAUUUCACUAAAAAUUUUGACUGAAUAUGAGUUAUUUGUGGGUAUCUUAUUGUAGGUUAAUGCCAUAGAUUGUUUGCUUUCAGCAACUCCACAGUCUGAAGAAUUUUUAUGGGUAUUGUGGGAGCUUUGUGGUCUUGCUAGGUGAAUUAGUUGAUCUAUUUCUUUUACCUUGGAAUUGAACUACAUGGGUGGUUCUGACUGAAACUUGUUUUUAUGUUUGGCAGGUCUGAUUGUGGACGCCAAGCUUUAUUGGCCAUGAGUUUUUUUUCGGAGGUAUUGACAAAUGUUCUGUAUGGUUAAUAUUCUUUAUGGCGUGCGGAGACUUGGCUUCUAUUUGAUAACUGACAUAUGUUCAUGUCAAUGCUAUUAUUUUCCCCCUUUUUUGUCAGGUGCUUUCAGUUUUGAUUGAAGCUUUGCAUUCUGUCAAGGAAUCAGAGCCUGUCAUCAAGAAUAGUGGUACUGUUUAUUUUGUGGUUAGGUUAAAUUAGUUGAAAAGCUUCUUGUUUAAUUGCAUAAUAUAAAUGGCCUCAUAUUUGCAACUUUCUGGAUAUGCAGGUGCUUCACCUCUUAAUCUUGCAAUUUUACACUCAGCUGCUGAGAUUGUUGAAGUCAUUGUUACUGAUUCAACUGCAACGUCUCUUUCCUCUUGGAUUGGACAUGCUAUGGAACUUCAUAAAGCUUUACAUUCUUCUUCCCCUGGGUCCAAUAGGAAAGAUGCUCCUACACGGCUAUUGGAGUGGAUUGAUGCUGGUUUAGUUUAUCAUAAAAAUGGGGCUGUUGGUCUUCUAAGAUAUGCUGCUGUUUUGGCUUCUGGAGGAGAUGCUCACCUUACCUCAACCAACAUUCUAGUUUCUGAUUUAACAGAUGUUGUUGAUAAUAUUGUUGGAGAAUCUUCUAAUGCUUCUGACAUUAAUGUGAUGGAGAAUCUUGGAAGCAUUAUCUCUAUGAAGUCCUUUGAGGGUGUUAACCUCCGUGACUCUUCUAUAGCCCAGCUGACAACUGCAUUUCGAAUUUUGGCAUUCAUUUCAGAGAAUCCAGUAUGCAAUUUUAUACUAUAAUGUCUAAUUUAAAACUAAAUUGAUUUGACAUGUAAUGUAUAGUUUUUCAUUGUAGACUGUUGCUGCUGCUUUAUAUGAUGAAGGUGCCAUCACAGUUAUCUAUGUGGUUCUUGUCAAUUGUAGCUACAUGCUUGAGAGGUCCUCAAACAGUUAUGGUAAGUUGAUAUGUAUUGUUGUUGACUGGGCUGCUAGUCUGAUUUAAUUGUACUGUAUCUAGGGGUGAGCAAUUUUUGGUUACAACUGAAUUAGUCAAAUUAACUGAAGCAAUUUGGUUAAAAUGUUUCUAUUCAGUUAAAUUCGGGGUUAGACUUGGUUAAUUUGAUUAAUUUGGUUGCUUAUGGUUUUGCCCCUUUUUAAUAAGUUUUAUGUUAACCAAUUUGACAUUUAUACAUUUACUUUUUCAAUAAGCUAUAACUCUUCAACGAUAAAGCUCACUCUGUCAUUUAUAUAGCUCAAUAAACAGGCUCACCAUGUUGUAAGAGCUACUGGUGCCAUGCCUCAGUUAAAUUCUAGCUAAACUAGUUCAAGAAAAUGUGAACUUUAAUGUAGGAAUUUAGGCUUAAAGCUUUUGAUUUGAUUUUAGUUAAUUUGGUUAACCAACCAAGUUAACUGAUGCAAUUCUGUUAUUGGUUAAUUCAUAAAAUUCAGUCAAUAAAAUAUAUAACUUUGGUUAAUUUGGCUUUUAAAAUUUUCUAACUGAAUUAACUGAUUUCUCACCGGUAAUCGCAGCAUAUAAAUGGAAACUGAUGUCUCUUAAUUUAUAUGGUUAAAAGUUAAUAUGAUCUCAUUGGGAUCUUAUUCUGAAUUCAAUCAGCAUUGAAACAUUCAUCAUCUAAUAAUAUGGUAAAGCUUUUGGUUAAUGUUUUAACCAUUCCCUUAGCUUUUUGGGCUUACUCGUUGUCUCAAACCUCUCUCUCUCUCUCUCUCUCUAAAGUGAACCUGAA